UAGCCGACCUGAGAGGGUGACCGGCCACAUUGGGACUGAGACACGGCCCAAACUCCUACGGGAGGCAGCAGUGGGGAAUAUUGCACAAUGGGGGAAACCCUGAUGCAGCGACGCCGCGUGAGCGAAGAAGUAUUUCGGUAUGUAAAGCUCCAUCAGCAGGGAAGAAAAUGACGGUACCUGACUAAGAAGCACCGGCUAAAUACGUGCCAGCAGCCGCGGUAAU
Molecule: ribosomal RNA, 223 nt
Filed under: uncultured bacterium
Lineage: Bacteria
Description: partial 16S ribosomal RNA
Rfam family: Bacterial small subunit ribosomal RNA
Source: RNAcentral